Molecule: small nucleolar RNA, 122 nt
Organism: Gorilla gorilla gorilla (western lowland gorilla)
Lineage: Eukaryota; Metazoa; Chordata; Mammalia; Primates; Hominidae
Source: Ensembl
UGCACUUGUGUUUUUGUUUAACUGUGAACAAAGACUUAUAGAGAAGUGCAAAAAAUAAAUCCUCUUUUGCAACCCAGAACUCAUUGUUUAGUAAGGGUUUUGAUACAUAUAAAAGAGAUAUU